UUCCGGGUUACAUAUGAGUAACUGCACAGCAGGCAUCAAACCCGUCCUCAGGGGACAGCAGCCAGGCCAGGAAGUCUGAAUGGGGAAAGCAGGGACAAAACAGGGAAUUAUUCCUCCCUUUCCAACGCUGGAAAUGAAAGCUGGCAGGCUCAUCUGCAGGAACAAGUCCCCGAAGGAAGUUCCCCCAGCGUCAGGACAUGACUCACGAGAACUGAACCUCUGCAUUUCCCAGAGCUUUCCGCAGCCGGACACAGCUGGCAGGCUGACCCAGCUGUCCCAGCAGCCUGCAGAUGUUUUUUUUGUUUUGUUUUUUCCAUGUCCACCCUGGUAUGCGUGAGAAGUUUGGAGCCACACCAGCGGGGCUGUUACCGGUGGCUGCGACCUGGGGCAGCUUUUCAGGCGAAACUCGGCGCCAGACAAAGGAGAGGAGAAGAGGUUUGCCACCGCCAGCCAGCCAGCACCCAGCCCAGGACACAAACCCCGGCUGAAAGCCGAGGCCCGGUGCCACCGAGCAGCGGGGAUAGGAAAAGGAGAAGGAAACGGGGAAACGGCCCCGUUGUCUCUGCCAGCUGCAACGACAGAUGAACACCGGGUAAAACAAGUCCAUGUAACUUCGGUCCCAGCAGAAGUACCAGAACAAGCUGCUUGUGGGCACCGGAGCCUCCACAGGGAAACACCUGCAGCACGAGUCCGUCAGUAACAGGCGGUGGCACUUCAUCACUGCACUUUAUUACUUAUUUCUGGCAGGACAAUACCUGUUAUCAAAUAUGCAGAAGCAUUAAAAGUUAAGUAUUUCACCCUUACUAAUGCUUCAGGUGUUAUUUAAUGUCAUCUUGACAAACAAAGGAACUAUGUGUUACAUGAAAAUGCCAUGACAUACAUUAUACUAAAAGGUGAGGUAAUCACACCCCAGCAAGUUGUUAUUAAUGACUAACUUCCGUAUGCAAGGAAGUGUAUGGGAAUCCACAGAGAUCUAUCAUCUGAUUCUGUGUAAUUUUUUUAUUGUUUCAUUCUGUACAGUGUUUCAUUAAGGUAAUGGAGCAAAAUACCUGUUACAUGUUCCAAUGACUCCACCAUGAUAAGUUGGAGAAAAAAAUCUCUCAGCAUUGAAAAAGGUUCAGAAGGGGUAGCAAAGACAGUCAGACAUCAAUUGGCUUCCAGGUAAUGAUAACUGAGUUAGAACUCUGCUAGCUAGGAAAAAGAAAAAGAAAAGAAAAAAAAAAAAAAAGAAGAAGAAGAAAAAAAAAAAAGCUGUGUCCUGCACCAGUAAGAUCCCAUCUCAGACUAAUGUUGUGGUCAUUCAACUCCAGUCUACUCUAAGAAAUUAUUAGACUAUCAGUUCCUUUAUCAGAUUCAUAUUUCAUAGAUCUUUAAAAGGCAAUUGGGAUGUUAAUUGUGCAGACAAGACUUAUGAACUGAAUACACCCUGAUGAUGAAUGAAAGUUUGUACUUCAUCAAAAUCAGUCUUAGUUUACAGCUAGCAGAUGAAAACAGGGUGGUUGUUUAAAUUCUGAAGACAGCCUUCAAAAAGAGGAAAAAAAUAAAUAAAACAAAUCAAAUGUAAGUUCAGAUUUACUGAUUGCUAACUUGCCAAAUUAUCUUAAAAAAAAAAAAAAAGAUACAGUGACACUGUCUGGUCUUCAAAAAUCUUCUAGCUACCCAGAUGACAGCUUGAACUCCUCUGGCAGGUGAUAGCUGUUGAGGUAUUCUAUCUAAAAGUGAGAAAGUUAAGAUUUUUGAGGGCAUUUAGAUGGAAAGACCUUAAUCGUUGGCAUUUGUUGGCUGCAUUGGUCUAAUAGUCUGAAUAUCAGCCUUCAAGAGUCUUGCAAAGCCCAUCUGGUUCUCAAGCCUUUUUUAUUGGUGACGGAAAGAGUAUUUUUUAGUUUUAAUUAGGAAUGACAGUAUUUGAAUCUGUUGGUUUUAUAACUCUGUAACAUGAAAAAAAUGUUAUUUCCACAUAAUAUGAAUGCUGACACAUUGUAAUUGUUCAUGGUUUGAGAUGAUUUCUUUCUUUAGCUGUGGGUUGUACAAAUAUUUACAUGUUUACUUUAUUUUUGGCUUCUGGGGGGUGUCAUUUUGUAGGUAACUUACUGGGUAUCUCUACUUCAGUGACAGUUGCUUAUUAGAUGUGUUUCAUCUCAGAAAAAAAAUGCUUUGGGGCUUUCUGCAGGGUUAUUUACAUCACGUGCCAGUUUCUUGGCAAUUAACACUGCCAAUUUUCUCAGAACACUUGAGUGAUGAAACUGAUUCAGUGGUGUAGGUACUAACCUGAGGUUGAUUCCUUUCACUUGCAAGACUUCCUGAUUGAAUUCAUCUAUGUUUACAAAAUACAAAGGUAAUGCUGACUUAAAUGAAAGACAGUAAAACUCCAGCACUCAAGAUUGUGAAAGCAGAAGAUACAAGUUGCAGAUCAGAGAUAGGUGAUACAGGCUAUGAAGUAUGUGACAGAGAUUAUGAGAUACUAAAAAAGUGAGUUAAUGAAAAACAAAUACACCUCUGAUGGAAGUGUCCCUGGAUUUAAGACUUUAAGAACUUUGAAAAGAAAAAGAGUAUAGUUCUAUAUUAAAGUAAGAUGUGAAUUAUACACAAUAUUAGCAGUGACUGCAUAAGGAAAGUACAAGUAACAGUAGUGCAAAUCUCUCCAAAAUAUAAUAAUAGGACUAUCUACUGUAGGCACACCAACUCUUAUUUCAGAAUUAAAUAUGAACUAAAUAUGAAGAUUAGACUUAGGAUGUAUUCUCCGAUUAACUCACUUGCAGGCAUUCAUGAUGCAGGAUGCAGAGACUAAAAGCAGUAUCAGUUUUAAUUCUUAAGUGCAACGGGCAUCUCUUGAAAGCCUGAAUGUUUGAAGGAGAAAAGCAAGACAAGGUUAAUUGCUCCAUAUACUGUUGUUUAAUGUUUACUCAAAUGUAAUUAAUAAAUAAAGCUCAGACUGUUAAAAGGA
Non-coding RNA from Anas platyrhynchos (mallard), 2944 nucleotides. The record is from RefSeq and is a predicted model, not a curated record. Lineage: Eukaryota; Metazoa; Chordata; Aves; Anseriformes; Anatidae.